This 379-nucleotide unclassified non-coding RNA is filed under the name soil metagenome. RNAcentral describes it as "partial contains 5.8S ribosomal RNA, internal transcribed spacer 2, and large subunit ribosomal RNA". The stretch from base 1 to 120 matches the Rfam family "5.8S ribosomal RNA", at positions 35 to 154 of the family's 154-position model. The record is from RNAcentral.
GAUGAAGAACGCAGCGAAAUGCGAUAAGUAAUGUGAAUUGCAGAAUUCAGUGAAUCAUCGAAUCUUUGAACGCACCUUGCACCCUUUGGCAUUCCGAAGGGUAUGCUCGUUUGAGUGUCAUUGUACUCUCACACUUCCGAUCUUUGGAUUGGGAGCGGUGGACUUGGGUGUUGCUGCUUACUGUGGCUCACCUCAAAUCGAUUCGUGCACCUCUUGGUUGGACAUAGUACGGCGUGAUAAGUGUCUUCGCCGGCACCUCAGUAGAGGGUGGCUGAUCGGGAGCUCUGUGCUUCAAACCGUCCUCGGACAACAACUGACAUCUUGACCUCAAAUCGAGUAGGACUACCCGCUGAAAUUAAGCAUAUCAAUAAGCGGAGGA